CCUACGGGUUGCACCAGUGGGGGAUAUUGCACAAUGGGGGAAACCCUGAUGCAGCGAUGCCGCGUGAAUGAUGAAGGCUUUCGAGUCGUAAAGUUCUGUCCUUAGGGAAGAUAGUGACGGUGCCUAAGAAGAAAGCCCCGGCUAAAUACGUGCCAGCAGCCGCGGUAAUACGUAUGGGGCGAGCGUUAUCCGGAAUUAUUGGGCGUAAAGAGUUCGUAGGCGGUUUUCUAAGUCAGAAGUGAAAGGCAGUGGCUCAACCAUUGUAAGCUUUUGAAACUGGGAAACUUGAGUGUUGGAGAGGAAAGCGGAAUUCCUAGUGUAGCGGUGAAAUGCGUAGAUAUUAGGAGGAACACCAGUGGCGAAGGCGGCUUUCUGGACAAAUACUGACGCUGAGGAGCGAAAGCGUGGGGCGCGAACAGGAUUAGAUACCCUCGUAGUC
Molecule: ribosomal RNA, 439 nt
Filed under: uncultured bacterium
Lineage: Bacteria
Description: bacterial SSU rRNA
Rfam family: Bacterial small subunit ribosomal RNA
Source: RNAcentral